CAUUUAUAUUGUCACGAGCACCUAGUUGGCCAGGUACAUGAAAACUUCAGCUGAAAUUAUCUGAAAACAUAGUCAAGAAUGCGAUGUCGCCAGUGUCGCUGUUGUUGUUCUUUCAUGGUGGAGGCGAAAUGAGCGAUACAAAUUGUUUCUAAUUUAUACUUAUUCCUGUGAUUUGAAAUACCAAAUUGAACUUCGUAUCUUAUAUGUAUACUGUCAGUCAUUCCAACAAGUUGACUUAGCCCAUGACUUAGCGCUCAGUCAAUUUCCAUCCAUUAGAUCCUCAUGCUGUCAAAAGCCUAAAACUCAUGUUUGAAGAGCACAUAUAGUGGAAUAUAAAGGUGCCGAGAUAAGGUAUUCUUGCUUAUGAACCAUAGUAUCUUUUCUGAAUCUCGCAAUUUUGGUGGUGUACCUUGCAACAGCAUGUUUGUUGUUAUGGCUUUUUUUUUACUUUGGUUUAGAAGGCAACCUAGCUAAGAGAUAGAGUUUCAGUGACUUGAAGAGUGUGAAGUGAACACCCUAUCACCACGCUUCUGCAAUACUUCAUGACACUUUCUUUAGCAUCAGGAAAUUUAUCUCAACAUGUGGACGUAAUGCUGUUGGUUGCUUGGAAUUCCAUUAUUACGGUUUUUUCAUCAUGAACUUUUCAGUGUGCUUCUUAGAAAAGAGCACGCAGUUUCUUUGUGGAAUCGUGUGGUCCUGGCACGGAUAUUCUUGAGCCAACGCUGGCUUUUGUCCAUGACCAACGUUCUGCUCCAUCCUUAUAUUGCCGACGUAAGCUCAUCCGGCUUCUGCUUCAUCGCUUCUUACACAAAAUACAACUUGUCUUACUUCACUGUUGAGUACUCGAGUUGGAACACUUCAGCGGUCGCUUCCGUGCCGCUGUUACACACCUGCAGUCACUCACCACGGGAUUAUGCCCAGGUAAUGCAGAGGAGACGUCGAGAAGAUGGACACCAAAACAUCUCCGUUAUCUCCAAAAUGUCAGCGCGGAUCAUCAUUUGUUGUUGUUAAUUUGUUGUUGUUAUAUGUUGUUGUUUGUGUUAGUUAACCCGUUGUCUGCCACGCAUUUGUUCUUCCCUAGCUCCUUUGCACGGGCCGCGCUGGUCGGCCUCGUGGAUUUCAUGCCGCGAGGUCAGAAUGUCGCCAAGCCCAAACUUUGCCGCAAGGCCAGCCUUUUAGGCAAUGCACCCCCUCUCCCCCCUUGUCGAUACGGUGAUGGGUCUUCUCCUGUCACCGUGUCA
Long non-coding RNA from Daphnia pulicaria, 1241 nucleotides. RefSeq lists it as uncharacterized. Lineage: Eukaryota; Metazoa; Arthropoda; Branchiopoda; Diplostraca; Daphniidae. The transcript is spliced from 7 exons. The record is from RefSeq and is a predicted model, not a curated record.